GGAUUUCCAAUUCAUCGAUUGGAGAGACCUUGAUGCUGGGCUUCUGCGUAUCCUACCUGUGCAAAGCCUUCUCCCCUUCACUAGUGAGAGCAGGGGACUGGAGAAGGCAGGGCUGCUGGCAGGCUUGAGUGAGUGGAUGUUUGCCCUGUGAGAAGUACUGCCAGUUGAUGCCUUUCUACUGAGUCUACUGAGUCUGCUUCUCUACUGGGAGCUGAGGGCUCAGAGGUGGAAGACUUACUAAGCUAACCCAUUAGUGAGAGGGAGACAGAAGACGGAACCCUGGUCUUUAUUCCAGUGUAUCCUGUCCCAUGGAGCACACUAGAAGAGGAUUCUGGACAAAGACAAGAGUAACAAAAAGGCAGGCUGGAGGAGAAAUAAGGCUUCCACCCAAGUGGGCACCACUGGGCUCUGGGUUUAGAGUAAGGCGAUCGAUAGAUAAAAGGGGUAACCCCUUCCAUCAAUAGAUAAGAGGAGUAGACCCUUGGGAACAAAUAUUCUAAGGAUAAAACUGUGACUCAUGGGCUCUGACCCCCAGAUGUGGAACGUUACUCAGACAAGUAUCAGAUGUCUGGGCCGAUUGACAACGCCAUCGAUUGGAACCCUGAUUGGCGACGACUACCCAGCGAGCUCAAGAUUCGAGUGCGGAAAGUCCAGAAGGAGCGGACCACCAUUAUCCUUCCCAAGAGGCCCCCUAAGAGCACAGAGGAUAAGGAGGAGACGAUCCAGAAACUAG
RNAcentral lists this long non-coding RNA (733 nucleotides) under Rattus norvegicus (Norway rat). Its description in RNAcentral is "long non-coding RNA NONRATT016684". Lineage: Eukaryota; Metazoa; Chordata; Mammalia; Rodentia; Muridae. The record is from RNAcentral.